AUUGAACGCUGGCGGCAUGCCUUACACAUGCAAGUCGAACGGCAGCACGGGAGCAAUCCUGGUGGCGAGUGGCGAACGGGUGAGUAAUAUAUCGGAACGUGCCCAGUAGUGGGGGAUAACCCGGCGAAAGUCGGACUAAUACCGCAUACGACCUACGGGUGAAAGCGGGGGAUCGCAAGACCUCGCGCUAUCGGAGCGGCCGAUAUCAGAUUAGCUUGUUGGUGGGGUAAAAGCCUACCAAGGCGACGAUCUGUAGCUGGUCUGAGAGGACGACCAGCCACACUGGGACUGAGACACGGCCCAGACUCCUACGGGAGGCAGCAGUGGGGAAUUUUGGACAAUGGGCGCAAGCCUGAUCCAGCCAUGCCGCGUGCGGGAAGAAGGCCUCGGUUGUAACCG
Molecule: ribosomal RNA, 399 nt
Filed under: uncultured bacterium
Lineage: Bacteria
Description: bacterial SSU rRNA
Rfam family: Bacterial small subunit ribosomal RNA
Source: RNAcentral